Molecule: RNA transcript, 6176 nt
Organism: Haplochromis burtoni (Burton's mouthbrooder)
Lineage: Eukaryota; Metazoa; Chordata; Actinopteri; Cichliformes; Cichlidae
Gene name: NACHT, LRR and PYD domains-containing protein 12
Exons: 15
Source: RefSeq, a predicted model, not a curated record
AACAGGCUUCUCAAAAGCAGCAGUGCAGAGUGAAGAAGUGUGCAGAGGCCCCUGUUUUAUGGUAAAAAGUCCAUUUUAACAUCACUAAAGGUUUUAUUUGUUCAUCAUGUCACAGUUUUUUCUCCAGUCAGAGUGAAACUUGAAGCUUCAUUGAGGUCCAAGUUUAUCUUUGUGAUUCAUCCUCAGCCUGUGAUGUGUGUUUGUUUGCCCUGCGCUGCGACUUCCAGACGACUUCAGGCACGCUUCCGCUUCAGAUUUGCAGCUUUAUGGAAACGUACUGGUAUAACUAAAGCUUACGCAAAAUGUUCUGUCUUUAUUUUUAACACCUAUGGUUACUAGUUAUGGCUUUAUAAUGCUUCCGAAUCAGAGCAGAGGCACUGACUGCCUGCAAGGAAAAAGCCCAGGGAGCGUUACGUUUAUUCUACCUUUGUCACACGCCCUGGUGUGACUCACGCCUGGGCGUGAUAGUGGGAUUUGUGCACUUCUUUCAAUGGUGGAUUUUCUCAAUGAGCUUGGAGCGUUACUCUCACCAUGAAAAGGUACUGUAAAAUCUUAUUUUCUCUCUUUAAAAUGCAUUUAGGUCAGAACAAGUGAAGUGCAGCAUCUCCUGACCCUGUUGGAGACAGUACAGCCAAAAAACUCGACACAAAUUCUUUGCUUCGAUGCUUUGUUUAACACACGGCUCUGUAGCGCGCCGUUGCCUACAUUUGCGACUAAAAACACUCUGGAGCCAGAGUCUUCAUCCACUUCCGCUUGUUUUACACAAAUCUGCAGUAAGCCUCCAGAAGUUCUACUAAAAUAUGUAGAAAAAGAACUGGAAAGAACUACAAAAAAUAGAUUUCAAAAGACAUGUGCAUAAAAUUAAAGGGUUUAGUUGUUAUUGUUGUUGUUAGAGAUUUUAAAUAUUGCAAUUUUAUAAUGGAAAUGAGCAGUUGAUAUUGAAAGACCUGUGUUUUUUCCCCUUUUGUUUAUUUAAUAUUGCUCAUUAAUAAGACAAAACUCAUUCUUAUCUGAUUACUCAAUUAAUCGAUGGAAUAAUCGAUAGCUGCAGCCCUCGACAUUAGUACAAGAAUUAUAAGUAAAAAGCAUUUAAAAACAUCACAUGUAUAAGCAGCCUGUCACAAACGUUAAUCCAAAUUACUUUUUACAGCAUAAACAGUUUGUAACACAAACUUUCGAUUUGUAUAAAUCGUACAUAUCAUAAAUGCGACAAUACUAAGGUAAUUGUUAAUGAGCUUGUGUUCACUUUGAUGUACCUCAGUCAAGACAAGGUGCCCCACAAGACAAAGUAUCCUUAAUACAAACUCUUCAGGCUUAAUUUCACAUUUAGUUGUAAUUAGUUUUGGGGAGUAAUAAUAAAGUAAAACACAUUUUUUCUACUCAGUAUUUCUAAUAUAGAUACACUUUGGUGUAGUAUAAAUAGUCAUGAGGAAGUAGUAAGUAUUGUAAAACUUAUGGACACUUUGAGUGGCCAGUAGCACUAUAUAAGUGUGAAUAUAUUAAGAGCUUAACACCGAGCAAGAAAAUAAUCUAACAAUAAAUUAGAAUCCAUUUAUUGUGAGCUAACUAAGAUUAAACUAACUAAAAUUAAAAUAGAGAUCAGAAGAGGGGGUGGGGGUCAUCAUUCAUAAAAAGUAAUCUGUGCUGCCAUUUCAGUGAGUGUGGAAAACAUAUGUGCAAGUCCAAUAUAUGCAGGGUCUUAAUAAUAAAAUAAUAAUAAACAACAAACUCCAUGUUCUGUUUCUCCUUUACAGACAUUACAGAAAAUACUGAUGAUUUGAUGGAUAAGAAUUUAAAAGAUAUGAGCUCCACCGUGGAUCUUGUAGAAGGGAAAAAUGAUGGGAUCCUUCCCUCUAAAAACACUACACCAGGGGAACUUUGUGGGCCCACUGAAGCUCAGAGCCAGGAGCAGCAGCAGACUAGAUCAACUGCAUCAAGCUCUGUUUCGAUCAAGACCAAUCAUUCAAAGGAGUCACCUCUUGCUUUUAAUAGACAACAAUCUUCUGGAAAAGAGACUGGGGAGGUGAGGCCUGGUUGUCCUGUAUCCAGCUGUGAUUCGGUCAUGAGUGACCACUCCAAGGAGCCACCUCUUGCUUUUAACAGAAAGCAGACUUCUGGCACAGAACUGUAUCAGGACAUCUCAGAGGUUCAUAGUGCUUCAUGUGUGGAGGACCAUCAAACAGACAUAGACUCAAUAUUUAAGUUGCUUGAGGAGAGUAUUUUCACUUUUGUGAAAGACGAGUUGAAGCGAAUGCAAAGGCUUUUAAAAUCAAAGUGUUCAGAUGGAGAAAUGGACACCGAUAUGAAUGAGGGCAUGAGGAGCAGCAGAGAGGCAUUUCAAAACAUCGCACUGCACUUCCUGAGAAGAAUAAACCACGAGAACCUGGCUGAUUCUCUGCAGAGCAAAUCCCCUGCAGUAUGUGAGCGUAAACUUAAAUUUAGUUUAAAAAGGAAAUUCCAGUGCUUGUUUGAGGGGACAGCUAAAACGCGAAACCCAACUUUUUUGAAUGACAUCUACACAGAGCUCUACAUAACAGAAGAAGGGACUGGAGAGGUCAGCAAUGAACACGAGGUCAGACAGAUUGAAACCGCUGUGAGGAAACCGGCCAGACCAGAAAGAACGAUCACAUGUGAGGACAUCUUUAAAACCUCAUCAGGUAAAGAUCAAGCAUGUAGAACAGUGCUGACAAAGGGAGUGGCUGGCAUUGGGAAAACAGUCUUGACACAGAAGUUCACUCUGGACUGGGCUGAGGACAAAGCUAACCAGGACAUCCAGUUCACAUUUCCAUUCACCUUCAGAGAGCUGAACCUGCUGAAGGGUACAAAUUUCAGUUUGGUGAAACUUUUUCAUCAUUUCUUUACUGAAGCCAAAGAAGCAGGAAUCUGCAGCUUUGAGGAAUUACAGGUUGUGUUGAUCUUUGAUGGCCUGGAUGAGUGUCGACUUCCUCUGGACUUCCAAAACAAUAAGAUCCUGACUGAUGCUCGACAGCCCACUUCAGUGGAUGUUCUGCUGACAAACCUCAUCUGUGGGAACCUGCUUCCUUCUGCUCGGCUAUGGAUAACCACACGACCUGCAGCAGCCAAUCAGAUUCCACCUGGAUAUGUUGACAUGGUGACAGAGGUCAGAGGGUUCACUGACCUACAGAAGGAGGAGUACUUCAGAAAGAGAUUUGGAGAAGAGGAGCAAGCCAGCAGGAUCAUCUCUCACAUAAAGACUUCGCGAAGCCUGUACAUCAUGUGCCACAUCCCUGUAUUCUGCUGGAUCACUGCUACUGUUUUGGAGGAUGUGCUGAAAACCAGAGCAGGAGGAGAGCUGCCUAAGACCUUGACUGAGAUGUACAUCUACUUCCUGGUGGUUCAAGCAAAACUGUGGAGCAUCAAGUAUUGCAUUGGAGCUGAGGUGGAUCCACACUGGAAUCCAGGGAGCAGGGAAAUGGUUUUGUCAUUGGGAAAACUAGCAUAUGAGCAGCUGCAGAAAGGUCACCUGAUCUUCUAUGAAUCAGACCUGACAGAAUCUGGCAUUGAUCUCAGAGUGGCCUCGGUGUACUCAGGAUUGUUCACACAGAUCUUUAAAGAGGAGAGGGGGCUGCACCAGGAGAAAGUGUUUUGCUUUGUCCAUCUGAGCGUUCAGGAGUUUCUAGCUGCUCUUUAUGUCUUUCUGACUUUGACAAACUUUGGCGUGAAUCUGUUUCAGUCUGAAACUUGGUGGUCAAAUUUAUUCAGGGUCAAAUCUAAGCUAUCAUACCUUUUCCAAAGUGCUGUGGACAUGGCUGUACAGAGUCCCAAUGGACACCUGGACUUGUUUCUCCGCUUCCUUCUGGGUCUUUCCCUGCCAACAAAUCUCACACUUCUUGGUGGGUUGGUGACACAGAAAGGAAAUAUCUCUCUUGCGAAGCAGGAAACAAUUGAGUAUAUAAAGAGUGUUAUCAGGAGGAGUUUGUCACCAGAGAGAAGCAUUAACCUGUUCCACUGUCUGAAUGAGCUGAAUGACCAUUCUCUGGUUGAGGAGAUCCAACAGUAUCUGAAUUCAGGAACCCUUUCCCCAGAUGAACUGUCUCCUGCUCAGUGGUCAGCUCUGGUCUUCAUCUUACUGUCAUCAGAAGAAGACCUGGACAUGUUCGACCUGAAGAAAUACUCUGCUUCUGAUGAAGGUCUUCUGAGGCUGCUGCCUGUGGUCAAAGCCUCCAACAAAUCUCUGUUGAGUGGCUGUAAUCUGACAGAGAGAUGCUGUGAAGGUUUGGCCUCAGUUUUUAGCGCUCAGUCUUCUACUCUAAGAGAUGUUGAUUUGACAAACAACAACCUGCAGGACUCAGGACUGAAGUUGGUGUCUUCUGGACUGAAAAAUCCACAGUGUAGCCUAGAAAAGCUAAGGUUGAACCAAAACAAUCUCACGGAGAAAUGCUGUCAAGAGCUGUCAUUAGUUCUAGAGACCUCUCAUUUGAGAGAAUUGGACUUGAGUUACAACAAUCUGCAGGACUCUGGACUGAAACAGCUCUCUGCUGGGCUAAAAGGUCCAAACUGUAGACUGGAAACACUCAGGCUGAUUGGUUGUAAUCUGUCAGAGAAAAGUCAUGAUACGCUGUUUUUCAUUCUCACCUCCUCUAAUCUGAGAGAGCUGGACCUGAGCAACAACAGCCUGAAGGAUUCAGGAGUGAUGCUCUUCUCUGAACAGGGAAAUCAGCACUGCAGACUGGAAACUCUCCGAUUGAGUCGAACUGGUCUCACAGAGCAAUGCUGUCAAGGGUUAUCAUCAGCUUUAUGCACAAAGAUGUCUAGUCUGAGAGUGCUGGACUUGAGUGACAAUGACCUGCAGAGCUCAGGAGUAAAACUGCUCUGUGAGGGACUUGGAAGUCCACACUGUCAACUCCAAACUCUAAGGUUAACUCAAACCAACCUCACAGAGAAAUGCUGCAAUGACAUCUCAACAAUUCUUAGCUCCCGGUCUUCAAGUCUGAGAGAUCUGGACCUCAGUAACAAUGAUCUGCAGGAUUCCGGAGUGACACUUUUGUCUGCAGGACUGCAUAGUCCGUACUGCAUCCUGAAAACUCUCAGCCUGAGUGGCUGCAGGUUAUCAGAAAGAACUUGUGACGUUCUGAUGUCAAAGUCUACCAGUCUAAGAGAGCUGGACUUAAGUAAGAACCACCUGUGGGAUUCAGGCAUCAAGCUUUUGUCUACUGGGCUGACAAGUCCACACUGUAGACUGGAAACUCUGAGGUUGAAAAACACAAAUCUCACAGAGAAAUGUGGUCAAUAUAUCUCACUGGUCCUCAGCUCUGACUCUUGCAGUCUGAGACACCUGGAUUUGAGUAACAAUGACCUACGAGAUUCAGGAGUAAAACUGCUUUCUACUGGACUGAGGAGCCCACACUGUAGACUACAAACGUUUGGGUAUGCAUCUGAGGAAUAUGUGUUGCACCGUAAGGGUCAUUGUGAAAAGACUGGACAGGCAGUCAACUGUGACAAGGGGACCCAUUUUUUUCCUAGUAGACGAUUUGCUGUCAGGAUGGUUGCCCCUUCCUAAACCCUGGCUAGCAGUUUCUUCAAGUUAAAAGUUUUUUUUUCUUUCCCACUGUUGCCAAGUGCUUGUUCAUAGGGGAUCAACUGGUGGCUGGGGCUUCAUCCUAAUAUUGUAAGGUCUUUACCUUGCAAUAUAAAAAAAACAACUUGUGGUGACUGUUAUUGUGAAUUGGCAUAAUGUAAAUAAAACUGAACUAAUGUUGUGUUUGCACACACACUCCAUCUCCAUAAGACAAAGGUUAUAAACUACAAUGAAAAUAACCCUUAAGAGCUACAUUUAAAACUGCUGCAGAGUCAAUAAAACUAAAUAAUUAAUAAAAACCUAAACCUACACAACAGGAAAAAAAAAGCAAAAAAUAAAUAAAUAAAUAAAACAUCUUCACUAAACAGUAUGCACAAACAGCCACAGUUAUGAAAGUGCAAACAUUUUCAUUUAACUUCUCAGAUAGCAUAGUGUACAAAGCAAGAGAGGGCUUUUUUUUGUCUGAAGUCGGACUAAUGAAUUCAUAGUUGUGGUGGACAGACUGAGUGCAGAUUCUUAUGAGCACAUUUCUGUUGCUUUUGCAAAUCUUGAACAAGACCAUUUUUAAAACUAGCUGCUGUACCUGAGGAAUUACUUCUUUGCUUUGAAAGACACUUGAGAGAUUGUCAGGCUGUUU